This 450-nucleotide ribosomal RNA is filed under the name uncultured bacterium. Its description in RNAcentral is "bacterial SSU rRNA". It matches the Rfam family "Bacterial small subunit ribosomal RNA", at positions 354 to 796 of the family's 1533-position model. The record is from RNAcentral.
GUGGGGAAUUUUGGACAAUGGGCGAAAGCCUGAUCCAGCCAUGCCGCGUGCAGGAUGAAGGCCUUCGGGUUGUAAACUGCUUUUGUACGGAACGAAAAGACUCUGGUUAAUACCUGGGGUCCAUGACGGUACCGUAAGAAUAAGCACCGGCUAACUACGUGCCAGCAGCCGCGGUAAUACGUAGGGUGCAAGCGUUAAUCGGAAUUACUGGGCGUAAAGCGUGCGCAGGCGGUUAUAUAAGACAGAUGUGAAAUCCCCGGGCUCAACCUGGGAACUGCAUUUGUGACUGUAUAGCUAGAGUACGGCAGAGGGGGAUGGAAUUCCGCGUGUAGCAGUGAAAUGCGUAGAUAUGCGGAGGAACACCGAUGGCGAAGGCAAUCCCCUGGGCCUGUACUGACGCUCAUGCACGAAAGCGUGGGGAGCAAACAGGAUUAGAAACCCGGGUAGUCC